CGGGGAAUAUUGGACAAUGGGCGAAAGCCUGAUCCAGCCAUGUCGCGUGUGUGAAGAAGGUCUUCGGAUUGUAAAGCACUUUAAGUUGGGAGGAAGGGCAGUAAGCGAAUACCUUGCUGUUUUGACGUUACCGACAGAAUAAGCACCGGCUAACUCUGUGCCAGCAGCCGCGGUAAUACAGAGGGUGCGAGCGUUAAUCGGAUUUACUGGGCGUAAAGCGUGCGUAGGCGGCUAAUUGAGUCGGAUGUGAAAUCCCCGAGCUUAACUUGGGAAUUGCAUUCGAUACUGGUUAGCUAGAGUGUGGGAGAGGAUGGUAGAAUUCCAGGUGUAGCGGUGAAAUGCGUAGAGAUCUGGAGGAAUACCGAUGGCGAAGGCAGCCAUCUGGCCUAACACUGACGCUGAGGUACGAAAGCAUGGGGAGCAAACAGG
This 429-nucleotide ribosomal RNA is filed under the name Pseudomonadota bacterium. Its description in RNAcentral is "Proteobacteria bacterium partial 16S ribosomal RNA". It matches the Rfam family "Bacterial small subunit ribosomal RNA", at positions 355 to 776 of the family's 1533-position model. The record is from RNAcentral. Lineage: Bacteria; Pseudomonadati; Pseudomonadota.